RNAcentral lists this transfer RNA (72 nucleotides) under Marmota marmota marmota (Alpine marmot). It matches the Rfam family "tRNA". Rfam says of the family: Transfer RNA (tRNA) molecules are approximately 80 nucleotides in length. Their secondary structure includes four short double-helical elements and three loops (D, anti-codon, and T loops). Lineage: Eukaryota; Metazoa; Chordata; Mammalia; Rodentia; Sciuridae. The record is from Rfam by way of RNAcentral. RNAcentral also lists the same sequence under 1 other name.
UGGGUUGUGGCUCAGUGGUAGAGCACUUGCCUCUCAUGCAUGAAACCCUGGGUUUGAUCCUCAGCACCACAU